GGAACUCGUCCCCUAAACGGAAAUCAAUGGAGGAGACUAUAUAAGAGAGAAACCCUAGAAAGCAUCUCCAAAAUCAUCAAAAAUGAAUCUUUACAGAUGCCAACAGAAGAAGAAGAAAUCAUAUAAAAAAGGGAAGGGCGUUAUGGAGGCGGAGGCCGAGCCGUCAAAUAAUUAUACAGCAGAGCAGAUGGAUGUUGAUCAGGACACGGGAAUUCACUUUCAAGAGGAAUACUUAUGGAUGUAUACGGUAGAAAAGCCGGAUACGGGCCAAUCCGGGAUAACUAUGGAUCGGAGAAAGAAAAGGGCGAGAGUUCGUACGGGGACAUCACACUUCCGGAUGAGCACUUUAAUCAGGGCCGAGUAGAAGCGCCAUCUGACCCGGUCUCUAAGCCACCGAGGGUUCGGGAUCUCUCCCCGGUGUCUCAUUACCGUUGGUCCGGUAUCCGUGAGCCCGUUGGUCCGGUGCGACCGUUGCAAGACGCGUCAGUGGUGUCACAUCAUGGUCAGCCGCCAACUGUGCGUGUGUCAGACGGCGCCGUCAGUCAAAUCCCACCAAACCCGUGCAGGGGCUGUCCCUUUUAUUACUAUUUUAUUAAACCCACAUUGGGGGAGGCCCAUGGGCUCAUUAGUAUAAACAGAGUGCUCCCUCCUCCCUUAAGGGGGUUGGUUCAUCUUUUACUUUGAAGAAUAUUCUGUAACACAAUAUAUCUAUUGAUCCAG
Molecule: long non-coding RNA, 720 nt
Organism: Lycium barbarum (goji berry)
Lineage: Eukaryota; Viridiplantae; Streptophyta; Magnoliopsida; Solanales; Solanaceae
Exons: 3
Source: RefSeq, a predicted model, not a curated record